UGGGGAAUAUUGCACAAUGGGCGCAAGCCUGAUGCAGCCAUGCCGCGUGUGUGAAGAAGGCCUUCGGGUUGUAAAGCACUUUCAGCGAGGAGGAAGGGUAGUGUGUUAAUAGCACAUUGCAUUGACGUUACUCGCAGAAGAAGCACCGGCUAACUCCGUGCCAGCAGCCGCGGUAAUACGGAGGGUGCAAGCGUUAAUCGGAAUUACUGGGCGUAAAGCGCACGCAGGCGGUUUGUUAAGUCAGAUGUGAAAUCCCCGCGCUUAACGUGGGAACUGCAUUUGAAACUGGCAAGCUAGAGUCUUGUAGAGGGGGGUAGAAUUCCAGGUGUAGCGGUGAAAUGUGUAGAGAUCUGGAGGAAUACCGGUGGCGAAGGCGGCCCCCUGGACAAAGACUGACGCUCAGGUGCGAAAGCGUGGGGAGCAAACA
Molecule: ribosomal RNA, 427 nt
Filed under: uncultured bacterium
Lineage: Bacteria
Description: partial 16S ribosomal RNA
Rfam family: Bacterial small subunit ribosomal RNA
Source: RNAcentral